UACGUAGGUGGCGAGCGUUGUCCGGAUUUACUGGGCGUAAAGGGAGCGUAGGUGGACUUUUAAGUGAGAUGUGAAAUACCCGGGCUCAACUUGGGUGCUGCAUUUCAAACUGGAAGUCUAGAGUGCAGGAGAGGAGAAUGGAAUUCCUAGUGUAGCGGUGAAAUGCGUAGAGAUUAGGAAGAACACCAGUGGCGAAGGCGAUUCUCUGGACUGUAACUGACGCUGAGGCUCGAAAGCGUGGGGAGCAAACAGGAUUAGAUACCCG
Molecule: ribosomal RNA, 265 nt
Filed under: uncultured prokaryote
Description: partial 16S ribosomal RNA
Rfam family: Bacterial small subunit ribosomal RNA
Source: RNAcentral